AUUAACUGAAUCCAUAGGUUAAUGAGGCGAACCGGGGGAACUGAAACAUCUAAGUACCCCGAGGAAAAGAAAUCAACCGAGAUUCCCCCAGUAGCGGCGAGCGAACGGGGAGCAGCCCAGAGCCUGAAUCAGUGUGUGUGUUAGUGGAAGCGUCUGGAAAAAUUUUUUUUUUUUUUUGACAGCCCCGUACACAAAAAUGCACAUACUGUGAGCUCGAUGAGUAGGGCGGGACACGUGGUAUCCUGUCUGAAUAUGGGGGGACCAUCCUCCAAGGCUAAAUACUCCUGACUGACCGAUAGUGAACCAGUACCGUGAGGGAAAGGCGAAAAGAACCCC
Molecule: ribosomal RNA, 336 nt
Filed under: Shigella flexneri
Lineage: Bacteria; Pseudomonadati; Pseudomonadota; Gammaproteobacteria; Enterobacterales; Enterobacteriaceae
Description: partial 23S ribosomal RNA
Rfam family: Bacterial large subunit ribosomal RNA
Source: RNAcentral